This 433-nucleotide ribosomal RNA is filed under the name uncultured bacterium. Its description in RNAcentral is "partial 16S ribosomal RNA". It matches the Rfam family "Bacterial small subunit ribosomal RNA", at positions 29 to 507 of the family's 1533-position model. The record is from RNAcentral.
AACGAACGCUGGCGGCAGGCUUAACACAUGCAAGUCGAACGCACCUUUCGGGGUUAGUGGCAGACGGGUGAGUAACGCGUGGGAAUCUACCCUUCUCUACGGGAUAGCUCCGGGAAACUGGAAUUAAUACCGUAUACGUCCUGAGGGAGAAAGCUUUAUCGGGGAAGGAUGAGCCCGCGUUGGAUUAGCUAGUUGGUGGGGUAAUGGCCUCCCAUGCCGACGAUCCAUAGCUGGUCUAAGAGGAUGAUCAGCCACAUUGGGACUGGGACCCGGCCCAAACUCCUACGGGAGGCAGCAGUGGGGAAUAUUGGACAAUGGGCGCAAGCCUGAUCCAGCCAUGCCGCGUGAGUGAUGAAGGCCCUAGGGUUGUAAAGCUCUUUCAGUGGGGACGAUAAUGACGGUACCCACAGAAGAAGCCCCGGCUAACUUCGUG